RNAcentral lists this ribosomal RNA (500 nucleotides) under uncultured bacterium. RNAcentral describes it as "partial 16S ribosomal RNA". It matches the Rfam family "Bacterial small subunit ribosomal RNA", at positions 28 to 507 of the family's 1533-position model. The record is from RNAcentral.
GACGAACGCUGGCGGCGUGCCUAAUACAUGCAAGUCGAGCGGACUUUCCGGAGUUCUUGCACUUCGGAAGGUUAGCGGCGGGCGGGUGAGUAACACGUAAGCAACCUUCCCAUAAGAGCUGGAUAACAGUCGGAAAGGCAUACUCAUACCGGAUAGACGUACUUCUUGCAGGGGGGGGGCGGGUAAGGCCGGGCAGGCUGCCACUUGUGGAUGGUCCUGCGGCGGGUUAGGUAGUUGGUUGGGUAACCGUCUACCAAGGGGACGAUUGGGAGGCGACCUGGGUGAGUGAUCGCCCCCACUGGGACUGAGACACGGCCCAGACUCCUACGGGAGGCAGCAGUAGGGAACCUUCCGCAGUAGACGGGAGUCUGACGGAGCGACGCCGCGUGAGUUGCGAAGGCCUUCGGGUCGUAAAGCUCUGUUGCCAGUGAAGAACGGGCAGGGGCGUAACUGCACUUGCCAUGACGGUACCUGAGAAGAAAGCCCCGGCUAACUACGUG